GGCGGUUUGUCGCGUCUGCUGUGAAAUCCCGAGGCUCAACCUCGGGCCUGCAGUGGGUACGGGCAGACUAGAGUGCGGUAGGGGAGAUUGGAAUUCCUGGUGUAGCGGUGGAAUGCGCAGAUAUCAGGAGGAACACCGAUGGCGAAGGCAGAUCUCUGGGCCGUAACUGACGCUGAGGAGCGAAAGGGUGGGGGGCAAACAGGCUUAGAUACCCUGGUAGUCCACCCCGUAAACGUUGGGAACUAGUUGUGGGGUCCAUUCCACGGAUUCCGUGACGCAGCUAACGCAUUAAGUUCCCCGCCUGGGGAGUACGGCCGCAAGGCUAAAACUCAAAGGAAUUGACGGGGACCCGCACAAGCGGCGGAGCAUGCGGAUUAAUUCGAUGCAACGCGAAGAACCUUACCAAGGCUUGACAUAUACGAGAACGGGCCAGAAAUGGUCAACUCUUUGGACACUCGUAAACAGGUGGUGCAUGGUUGUCGUCAGCUCGUGUCGUGAGAUGUUGGGUUAAGUCCCGCAACGAGCGCAACCCUCGUUCUAUGUUGCCAGCACGUAAUGGUGGGAACUCAUGGGAUACUGCCGGGGUCAACUCGGAGGAAGGUGGGGAUGACGUCAAAUCAUCAUGCCCCUUAUGUCUUGGGCUUCACGCAUGCUACAAUGGCCGGUACAAAGGGCUGCAAUACCGUGAGGUGGAGCGAAUCCCAAAAAGCCGGUCCCAGUUCGGAUUGAGGUCUGCAACUCGACCUCAUGAAGUCGGAGUCGCUAGUAAUCGCAGAUCAGCAACGCU
This 787-nucleotide ribosomal RNA is filed under the name uncultured bacterium. RNAcentral's name for it is "bacterial SSU rRNA". It matches the Rfam family "Bacterial small subunit ribosomal RNA", at positions 574 to 1358 of the family's 1533-position model. The record is from RNAcentral.